Molecule: ribosomal RNA, 474 nt
Filed under: uncultured bacterium
Lineage: Bacteria
Description: partial 16S ribosomal RNA
Rfam family: Bacterial small subunit ribosomal RNA
Source: RNAcentral
UACGAACGCUGGCGGCGCGCUUAACACAUGCAAGUCGAGCGGUAAGGCUCCUUCGGGAGUACACGAGCGGCGAACGGGUGAGUAACACGUGAGUAAUCUGCCCUUCACUUCGGGAUAACCACCGGAAACGGUGGCUAAUACCGAAUACGACCAGUCUUCGCAUGAGGUGCUGGUGGAAAGUCUUUUCGGUGAAGGAUGUGCUCGCGGCCUAUCAGCUUGUUGGUGGGGUAAUGGCCUACCAAGGCUUCGACGGGUAGCCGGCCUGAGAGGGUGACCGGCCACACUGGGACUGAGACACGGCCCAGACUCCUACGGGAGGCAGCAGUGGGGAAUAUUGGACAAUGGGCGAAAGCCUGAUCCAGCAACGCCGCGUGAGGGAUGACGGCCGUCGGGUUGUAAACCUCUUUCAGUACCGACGAAGCGCCCUGUCGGGUGGUGACGGUAGGUACAGAAGAAGGACCGGCCAACUACGUG